RNAcentral lists this non-coding RNA (566 nucleotides) under Moellerella wisconsensis ATCC 35017. RNAcentral describes it as "Bacterial large subunit ribosomal RNA". It matches the Rfam family "Bacterial large subunit ribosomal RNA", at positions 1 to 603 of the family's 2925-position model. The record is from Rfam by way of RNAcentral. Lineage: Bacteria; Pseudomonadati; Pseudomonadota; Gammaproteobacteria; Enterobacterales; Morganellaceae.
GGUUAAGCGAAUAAGCGUACACGGUGGAUGCCUAGGCAGUCAGAGGCGAUGAAGGACGUGCUAAUCUGCGAAAAGCGUCGGUGAGCUGAUAUGAAGCAUUAUUAGCCGACGAUGUCCGAAUGGGGAAACCCGGUGCACUUUGGUGCAUCAUCAUUUAGUGAAUACAUAGCUAAAUGAAGCGAACCGAGGGAACUGAAACAUCUCAGUACCUCGAGGAAAAGAAAUCAACCGAGAUUCCCCUAGUAGCGGCGAGCGAACGGGGAGCAGCCCAGAACCAACAUCAACGCUAGCAUUAAGAGAACAGUCUGGAAAGUCUGGCAGUAAAGGGUGAUAGCCCCGUAUCUGAAAAUGUUAGUGUUGUGAGUUCGACGAGUAGGGCGGGACACGUGUUAUCCUGUCUGAAUAUGGGGGGACCAUCCUCCAAGGCUAAAUACUCCUGACUGACCGAUAGUGAACCAGUACCGUGAGGGAAAGGCGAAAAGAACCCCGGCGAGGGGAGUGAAAUAGAACCUGAAACCGUGUACGUACAAGCAGUGGGAGCCUUGAUUUAUCAGGGUGACUGCGUA